UUACUAUGCUGUAGAGGUAUAUUUUUCAUUAAUCUCAAAGGUGGAGGGUAAUGUCUUAAACAGUCAAUCUUUACCGAACACAUGUAAAUUCAAAGUGACUUACAGCUAGUAUUUAAGUUUUAAGUUUCCCGAGCCUGUUUGGGGGAAGUGAUUUGUCCCAAAUGAAGUAAAGGUGCAUUCAAGAACACAUUAAAAGAGGAAUGGCCUUUCACGUCAUUAAUCCUGCUUCUUUCCCAGAGCCUUGGUGCUAUCAUGGACUUUACCCGACAUACUUAAUCUCCUGAGGGAAAGAUGUGUGAAAUUUCUCCCUGACCCCCCCCAAGGUAAUUGACUGCAACUCCAGAAUAUCAAUCUAUCUUAACAAGAUCUAUUAUUCAAUCCCCACCAGCUGCCUUCUACCAAAGACGUUUCCAUGGCGCCAGAGUCACAGGAACCAUUGUGUUUCCGAAAGUCGUUGAUCAUCCCUGUCGAGAUGCUGCCUGUCCCACUGAGUUACUCCCCAACAUCGAUCUUCAGAUAUUUUCCUCUAUUUCCUGAACCUGGACAGAACCCAUAGAAAACAAUGGGAAGACAUGGCUGCCAGAAAGAAUGGUACAGGUACAAUGGGUGAACAUUUACGGGCCUGUCCCACUUGGCGAUUUUUUCGGGGACAACCAACGUCACCUGGUGACAACCUGCGCCAUCCUGGCGACAACCUACAACAGCACCUACAUCAGGAGAAGACAAGCUACGUCAAGCCCAGAAAGGUUUUGAACAUUUCAAAAUCCAGCGGGGACCAGAAAGACGCUACAACUCUUUAGGCGACUUGAGGAGACUACUCACGACUAUACGGGCAUCACCCCGCGACUAUGCGUUGACAGCCUAGUCACCUGUAGUCGCUGAAAAAAACCGCCAAAGUGGAACAGACCCUAUAUAAAUUUCCAAAACUCAUAUGUCCAUAUUGAAUCGUCCUGUGAAUUUCAUUGUGUUUUUUCCCCCAAAGUGUCCUGUGAUCAUUUUCCUAAUAAAUAAUUCCUAA
Molecule: long non-coding RNA, 1018 nt
Organism: Leucoraja erinaceus (little skate)
Lineage: Eukaryota; Metazoa; Chordata; Chondrichthyes; Rajiformes; Rajidae
Exons: 3
Source: RefSeq, a predicted model, not a curated record